GAAACUGUCUUUGAGUGUGAACUAUAAGUCUUUUGACUUAUGACCAUCACUCUAGACGUUUAUGUUUUGGUGUUGGCCCUUGAUGCUCAUUUGAACGCAACGGACGUGAUUGCAACCCCUUGUUGAGAUUUAUCCGAUCUCUACGUUCACUGAACCACACUCUUUAGCGAGAGCAGUGGGGAUGUGGAUAAACUCGGGGGACUGCUGACUAUAAACUUUUCUCAAACCAGAGGAAGGUUGCGGCAAUAACAGGUCUGUGAUGCCCUCAGAUGUUCCGGGCUGCACACGUGCUACAUUUAGUAGCGCAGUGUGCACAUUAAUAGAGUGAUAGGUUCCGUGGUUUGUACAUUUUAAGGGCUCGUCCUAGUAACCAAAGCUCCACGGGACAUAUCAACCUUCCCCUUACAGGGCGGGUAACCUCUUCGAAGUGCUGGCAUGAUUUCCCUAGUUUUGGCAUUUGAAUCCUUGUCGCAGCAGCCCUGAGACGUAGUGAACGCUGCAAAGUGAUUCCAGUCUUAGGUUUGCGACACAUGCAAUUCCUGGUUGACUCAUCGUGGGGACUGAUUCUUGUAAUUAUUUUUCACGGUUCAACCAGGAAUGCCUUGUACCGGCGGCUCAUUAAACCGCUGGGAAUACGUCCCUGCCCUUUGUACACACCGCCCGUCGCUCU
This 670-nucleotide ribosomal RNA is filed under the name Globigerinoides ruber. RNAcentral describes it as "partial 18S ribosomal RNA". It matches the Rfam family "Eukaryotic small subunit ribosomal RNA", at positions 1307 to 1682 of the family's 1831-position model. The record is from RNAcentral. Lineage: Eukaryota; Foraminifera; Rotaliida; Globigerinidae.